Molecule: ribosomal RNA, 305 nt
Filed under: uncultured bacterium
Lineage: Bacteria
Description: bacterial SSU rRNA
Rfam family: Bacterial small subunit ribosomal RNA
Source: RNAcentral
CAGCCUACGGGACGCAGCAGUGGGGAAUCUUCCGCAAUGGGCGAAAGCCUGACGGAGCAACGCCGCGUGAUCGAAUGAAGGCCUUCGGGUUGUAAAGAUCUGUUGACAGGGACGAAUAAGCAAUGCGAAUAGUUUUGUGUAUGACGGUACCUGUUUAGAAAGCUCCGGCUAACUACGUGCCAGCAGCCGCGGUAAUACGUAGGGAGAAAGCGUUGUCCGGAAUUAUUGGGCGUAAAGGGCGCGUAGGUGGGGGCUUAAGUCAGGUGUGAAAAGUCGGGGCUCAACAUGGAGAUUGAAGUUGAAAG